Molecule: long non-coding RNA, 9924 nt
Filed under: Fragaria vesca (wild strawberry)
Lineage: Eukaryota; Viridiplantae; Streptophyta; Magnoliopsida; Rosales; Rosaceae
Description: long non-coding RNA (FVES_LNC003633)
Source: RNAcentral
AAAGACGGUGUUAUAAAUAUAUACGCGCAUAUCCCCUAUAUAAAUUAUUAUAUUAUAUAGGGCUACGACAAUUGCGUCUAACGCUCACGUCGCACCAUAAUGGAAUUUUACCUCAGUAUGGUGGAAAAGCACGUAUAGCUAGCUAGCAUUUCUUCAUAUACAUAUUAUUCUCAUAAUCAUCCAAAUAUGGAUAUAUAUACAUACUCAACGACAUAAAUUAUUCCGCAUGCACAUUAUUUAAAAUAAAAGUCCACUCACAAAUUAGGCCUAAGCCUGAUGACGCUCCGAGGCUUCCUCUGCUCGGGCCUCCUCUCGUCCUGUUCCAAAUAUAUAAUUAAUUUCCCACUAAAAAUCCAAUAAUUAAACAAAAUGGGUAAAAUUAAACGUGAGCCUCCCACACACUCAUCAUUGCCCAAAUUCGCCAUUCUUAACUCAAUACGGCUCAAACUUCACCGAACAAACCGGCAGCCGUAAAAACAUCUUCCCACAAAAUACGACUUAAAUCCUACGGCCGGAUUUUACAUUAAUUAACCGCCAAAAAUAUCAAACUUCAGAAAUUCACAAACCUAUCCAAAACUCAUCCAAAAAUUCCAUAAUUCACUUCAAUAAACUCCCAUUAAUAUUCCAAAUUUAAAAAUAUAAAAAUCUCCCAAACAGCUCCGGCGCCGGCGCCGGCUCCGCGGGCAGCGGCGGCCGGAGGCCGAUUCCGGCGACCUCCAAUUCCUAUGAAAUUUUGAUAGCAUAAUCCUCUCAUCAUGCUCUACAAAUUUCCUCACUAGCACAAACCCAAAAUCCAAGCCUAGCUAUGCCAAUCGAACAAAAACAUCAAAAACGCCCUAGAGCUUCCACCUCAAAUUUCUCCUUACCUGAAGCAAACCGGAGUGAGCCAUUUUAGGGCAAGGCAGCUGGGUUGAAGUCCUACAAAACCGUACCAAGCUUGCCCGGAUUGGUGGCCGGAGGAGGGAGUUCCGGCGAAAAGCUUCCCGGCAUCUCCGGUGAGUUUUCUCUUCUUCCAGCGGGCUAACGGCUCGGGGGCUAGGCCGGGGAGGGAAAUGAGGAGAUGGGGGUCCGAACUGGGGUGGAGUGGUGGCUGGUGGCUGGCCGGACGGCGGCAGCUAGCAGCUGGAAGUUUCUGGCGAAAGGGGAGAGAGCACGGGAAGGAGAAGGAAGAGAAAAGAGAGAAGAAGAGAAAGAGAGGGAAAUGGGUUGGGCCUCUCAACCGGUCCAACUCCACCAUUAUACCCAACUCCCACAAAAUAAAACACCUCAAAAAAAUAAUACCCGAAUAAAAAUUACCUUUUACUAGCUAAAAUAUACCAUUUUUACCGUCGUCAUAUUUUCCUCCUACGAAUAAUCCUCCGCACAUAAUCGUCCCCGAAACCCCUCUAGAGACUAAUUAAACUAUUAACUCAAUGACGAAGACGGUAAAAUUCUUAUUAUAACCAAGCUAGUAAAUAAGGUAAAAUAUAAGGGUCGGGAUGUGACAGAUAUGACCGGUUGAAGAGGAGAUAAUUUUCACCUUCCAAUCAUUCCUUUACAGCAAGGCCAGUCCACCUCCUCCGUUAAGACUUUUGUUAACUGAAAAACACCCAAAAGACCCAUCUAGCUUUCUCAAAACACCAUCCAUCUGAUCAACAUUCUUCCUAGUUUCCAUAAUGAAAACUAAGUGCGGCCUUCUUUCCCUGAGAAUUUCUCUCAAGGCUCUUAAUUAACGUUUGAGGGGUGCCAAGUCCCUGAACGUUCCAGCACAAAACUAACAUUGCUCGUGAUGGGUUAGAAAACCGGAACUCAUCAUGGUGUCAGCCAUACAAACAUUAGAAUCAGUAAUUUUAGAGGUCUCCAUCGCAGGGGCAGAUGGAUUAACUACUUUCUCUGCCGAUUUCUUUUCUUCCAGAAUGGUAGCAGAGAGAUGAAUAGGGUUUGUUGCAGUUGAACGAAAGGGGUUGCUGCCCAGACAGGCUAGCAUACUACACAUUUGUUACACGAGACAGGUUAGAGAAAAUAACCUUAGCGAACUACACAUUUGUUACAUGAGACAGGCUAGCAUACUUAUCAACAUAUAAUUUUUUUUUCUUUUUAUUUACCUAUUCAGAUUCUUACACGUGAUAUAUUUUAUUUUUACAGAUUUAACAACAAAUUUACACUAAUAUAAGUAACUUCGCUUAGAGCAUGUAAAUUUAGUUCAGAUCUUGUAAUUACAACAUACAGACAUUCAUUACGAAACGUUGUAAAAGAUGUAAUUAUUUUUUCAAUACAAAAGACACCACCUAAUUACAAAACCGAGAACUCUAUUAUAUGAAUGAAGAAGACAUAUGCUUUAUUUGGUCUAAAUCUGAAAAUUUACUAUCUCAACAACACAUUCGUCCUUAAUUUUGUAAAACAUGUUAUAAAUUUGUAAAUCUGAUUCAUACCUCGUAAUUACAACAUAUAUACAUCAUCUAUUACAAAAGUUUCAACCAAAUGUUCUUGUGUUUGUAAAAGCGUUGUAAAAGAUGUAAAUAUUUUCUCAAUACACAAGACAAUACCCAAUUACAAAACCGAGAAAUAUAUUACGUGAAUGAAGACAAAUGGUCUAUUGGUCUAAAUAUGAAAAUUUAUCAUCUCGACAACACAUUCGUCCUCAAUUUUGUAAAAGGAGUAUUUAAUCUAUACAUUUGGUCCAGACCUCGUAAUUACAACAUAUGAACAUUUAUUAUAAAAUUUUCAACCAAAUGUUAUUCUAUUUGUAAAAAAUAUUCAAAAAAAACCACGGUAUAAAAAACAUGUGGGUACUCUAAAAAAUUUGAGGACGAUUAUUCAUUUUGAAGAGCAACACAAACAAAACAUUGAGAACAAAACUUUUAGCUCGAAAAUAUGUCACCAUAUUCUUCGCUCUAUGGAUGUGAGAGAUGAGAGGUGAAUCAAAUUGAGUCAUAAUCUAUUUUCAAUAUAACAAUUGUGAUUGUAAGUGUGUGAAUUCACCUUAUUAGGCAGUAAUAUCGUUAGAUGCAAACUAACAAAAAAAGUUUUCUGAAAUAUGGACGUCACUCCAAUUGUAUUGAUAAUAGAAGGAGAACAAAAUAAACACGAUCCGCCCUCUCGGGCUACGUUAGAAAUGAACCAUGCAAAAACUACCUAAAAACUAGACAGUUCUCUAUGCUGCAGACCAUAGCAUGUAACCCAACUAAAAAAUAAUCAUUUUUUAUCAUAAAAACAUAAAAAUUAAUUGAUGUAGAUUUUUUUUUUUGUUCAACGAGAUGUAGAUGUUCAUAUGCCAUUGUUGUUUUGUCCUUGAGAUAUAAAAACUAUAACGACUAUAAAAUUAGCAAUAUAUGCAAUUAAAAUUAGUUGUUACAAGAAUGAAUUUUAACAUCUUCAAGACAUUAGGGUAAAGGAUAUUGAUUAUCUUCUUGGGGAGUAUCAGGUGUUGGAUAAGCAAAAUGAGAGUCCAUAUUAUUGAUUAGAAUGCAAUCUCGUUGUUGGAUAAGCAAAUGUAUUAUCAGCUGACUGCUAAUGCAGACUUCUCGACUCUAACCAGUGUGGAAACCGUUCCUAGAUACUAUUGUUGAAGCGUGGGAGUUGAAGAAAUACAAGAAGCUUGCUCGUUUCAUUCUUAUUGAUGAGCAUAUUCUUAUACAUAACCGUCCCUGCAAGCUUGUGAAUGUUCACAUUUGCGCCCCUUCAACAAGGUGGUUAUGGAUAUUGUUUCAUCGGUAUAUAUAUAUAUAUAUAUAUAUAUAUAUAUAUUAAGGACUAUAUGCUUGAAGAUGUUGUGAGUUAUUUUAUCACAAUCUUGAGGUUCCUCAUGUUGUCCAGGCAGAAUUCUAUGUUAUUGAUAUAUCUUAAGAUGAAUAUAUGCUACUAUUGAGUGACAACGGUAACGUUCGAGAUGAUGUGAGGAUUCCAUAUGACCCGAAUCUACUUGCAUAAAUUACUCAUAGGUUUGAGGGAGGUAAUAACCCCGUUGUCACGGUGAUAUCCUCAAUGGGUGAGGAGAGGGUGAUUUAUGUACACUGAUGGGCAUUUUCAGGUCAUCAUGUACACUGAAUUAAGGAGGCUGAAUUUCGGUGGUGGAUGAGGCAAAUGAAAUAGUUUAUCUAUUUCCUUUUAUUCCUCCUUAGCUAAAUUUUGUAUUGAUGAUUUUGUAUUGAUAUUAAAGAUUUUGUUUUCCUAUGGUACUCUACUUAGAUUAACUAGAAUCAUAUUUGCCCAAAAAAAAAAUUGAAUUUCAAUAUCUGAUUAAUUACAAACCAUAUGUGCAAGUAAAUCAUAGAUUAUACUAUUAACAAUUCAACAUCUGAGCGGCGACUCUGCGAUCAGAUGCGUUGCUCUUUGGUUUGAGCUCUUAGUGGCUUCAAUUCAAUUCAUUGCUUGUGGGUUAGGCCUUGUUUGGCAUAGGUCUAGGUCUUUUUUAGUUGUUUUUGUAGUUUUGUUUUUUCCGUUGUUGGUUGGUUCUGGUUGUCUAGUUGUCCCUCCUCUUUGAGCGAGGGUUUAGGGUUUUGGUAGGUUGGUGUCGUUGGUCAGUAGGUGUGUCAUGAAUCAUGAUUAUGGUGUCAUAUCCAAAGAUUAUUUUAACGUCGGUUAUCUCUUGUUGUCAAUGUAAUGAGGAGGUUGCAUGUACAUAUAUGCUGGUAGUUUUAGCAUAUAAUGUUUGAAAGGUUAGUUCUUUUUAAGGUUGACUGUGAGAAUGUAUCAAGGCUUAUGGAUUAGGUUAGGUUACGGUUGAACCAUUUUCGGUUCUUGUCCACUGUAAUCGCUUGUUUGGUAGGGAGGAGAGUACGAAUUUUAUGUCUACCACUGAAAUCCCAUGGUUGUAACAUUGGAUUUUAUAAUAUAAUAAUUUUUCCCAAAAAAAAAAUUGAUUUUUCAGUUUUUCUUUGUAAAAGUUGAAAAUAUUUUCAUUUUCCACGUUUUCAAAAAGAACUAAUUUCAGUUUACACCCUUCAACUUUAGGUCAAUCAUCAUUUAGUCUUUUUUUCUUUCAAUUUCAUCAAAACACCCCUCGACUUCCAAUUUUCAUUAGCAGUGGGCAAACAUCCGUUUUCCAUCCAAUUCCUCCGUUAUAUGAUGACUUGCAUUUAGAAGAAAACCAAAUUUGAAGUCACUGGGCCCACAAAAAAAUGGUAAAAUAGACAAAUUGCAUUCAAUCUCACUAAAAUCACUAAGGUUAUGGGGUUGUGAUGGAAACUGAGAUGUGUAUCGAUAUAAGGGAAAAAUGGUCUGAAAAAUUAUUUUUUCGGAAGUUGACUUUCUUCUUGAUGCCACGUCAUCACUUGACUGAGAAAUUGGAUAGAGAAUGGAGGUUUGGACACGGCUGAUAAAAAUUGGGAGUCGAGGGGGUGUUUUUGAUGAAAUUGAAAAAAAGACUAACAUGAUGAUCAACCUAAAAUUGACAGGGGUAAACUGAAAUUAGUUCUUUCAAAAAUAUCUCACCGAACACAUUUUCAUCUCAUUUUCAUUUCUAAAAAUGAAAAUACAAGCAUAAAAAUGUUACUGAAUGCCACCGAAUUAAUGUUAAUGUUAUAACAAACCUUUCAUUGCCUAAAAGGAAAUUAAAGAGAUAGCAACUUUAGCUAGCUAGAUCUAUGUUAGACCAUAAUUUACACAUGUUUAUAUUCCCCUAAACUUUGACUUUAACUUGUUUUUGAGUUCAUUUUAGCUUUCACUAAAUCAUUUAUCUAGGUAAAAUACAAGAGUGAAGGAAACAUUGAUUUUUGGUAUUAAUAUGAAAAAUCGGAGCUAAGAAGAAUUGCAGUUCAAUGUGGAGCGAAACGUAAAUUUCCGAAUUCUGGCGAACCACCACUAUUGGUGGCACAAAUGGCGGUCCACCACUUUUCCGGUCAUCAUAUAUGAGGAGCAAGGAGAAGAAUGGUGAUCGAGUAACAACAUAAAAUCCAUGUUAUAAUCCUUUGGAUGAUAGGCAUCACCAUGCACACAUGCUUUCUCAUGUUUGUCCACUUGAUUUAGGUGACUCAAAACUAUCUCUACACGUUUUCUCUUCUUGUUCCCAAUGCAUUUGAAAAAGCUAAUUGCCCUUUCACUCUCUCUUUAGUCAUCGAUCUUUUCUUACUCUACACUCUCAUAACUCAUUAUUAUGUACUUCUUUCUCUUCUCUAACAUUCCAUCUCUUUUUAUUGACUUUUGUUACUCUCUUUUUUCCUUUCCCUUGCUCCAUCCGGAUGGAACAAAGAGGAGUGCCUCAUUUCUCUCUUUUUUCUCUCCCACUUUCCAUCAUCUUUUCUCUUUAUAUAUUCAUCAUUCACCCACUCACCCAUUCUCUCUUUUUUUCCUCCAUCUCCACCACAAACUUCCAUCUCAUCUCUCCCAAAAUCCAAACACACAAACCAAAUCUACUCCAUCACCACCACCACAACUACCAUCUUCCACCACCAUAAACUCCAUAACCACCACCACUAUUCCAUAUCACUAUCACUCAAAAUUAGGCAAAGAAGCACCCAUCUCUUCAUCUCCAUUCCAUUCAUCAUCAACAAGAACUCUAUCAGCCAUCCAUUUCACCAUCAAGGAGGAUCCAAGGAGCAUAGAUUGAGAAAACCCAUGGAGGAGCAAGCCAUUAACUUGUCAAACUUCAACUAGUUUACUCUUUCCUUAAACUCCUGAAUUUUUCUUGAUGUAUAUUAGAUUUAGUGUUGAUUUGUAUUGUUAUGAGUGAGUAGUAACUUUGUUGGGGUUAGGGUUGAAAGGCCUAACCAAUCUUGUAUGGAUUGAUGCUAUUUUAUGAUGUGAUGCAAUUUUAGUUAACAUUCAUACAUGUUAGUUCAAGAGUUGAAUGUAUAUGCUUAGAAUUUACCACUUUGAGUAUGUGUGUUUGUCAUGACAUGAUAAUGUUUAGAGCUUGGUAACCUUUGAAUGUUAAAGCAUGAAAGCACACUAGGUGUGCAUGUAGGAGUUGUGAAUUACAAUCACUUAGAGAUAAGCUUGGUUGGUUUGCAUAGUUUCUUCAUAUCCAAACUUUAUGCACUUAGGGUAAUGCAUUAGAUGUCUAACCGGAUUGAAAUACAUGACUUAAGUAGUUAAGUAUUACACCCGAGAGAGGUUGCUUGAUACCACAAAAAGAACAUGUCCUUUGUCAUACCUGAGAGGGAUGCAAGGAGAGAAAUUGGUUGAUUAGCUUAACAUCAUUCAUAUUGAUUUGCAUCAAUACUUGUAAGAGAGGUUAGUGGUAGACAAUUCGAAUCCUAGCACCACCAUUCGUUAGACCUGACACGACCCACCCCGAAUUUCACCCUGAAACCCAAAAUAAAUCCUGUGAGGACCACCUCCAAGGAAAGUUUACCGAAAAAUCGGCAUAACCUCCCUUAAAAAUGGACAACCCUUCCUAAUAAUACCUGCAUACACUUCUGAUAAACCAAAUCCAACCUUAAACUCCUGGAGCCUUCAUGCUCCCCCAAAUCACAAUAUCUCCCAAUUAUUUAAAUAUCUACACAAAUCUCAUAUCCAACCAUUUAUAGGUUCAGAGCAACACUAAUAGGAAGAAAGGAAACAUGAUAAAUUAACAAGCGGAAGCUAUAUGAUGACUAUGCCUCAUCCCCAUUUACGCCCGACCUCAACUAUGCAAUCCUGCAACUGGGCAUUUUAAAACGAAGGGCCCAGGGAAAAACAUUUGAAACCGUUAGAGUGAGUGGACAAAAACAUAAAUUUAAUGAAAAUAUUUAUGUUUUCCCAAUUUACAUUUUCAUAGAAAAUAUGCUGCAUGCAACAGCUCAAAAACGCUCAACACAAAAACUGGCAAUUUCAUGACUAGUUCCGGCCAGUCUCCAAAACUCAAUAAAAUACAGCCUAUCAGGCUAAAAUAAAAUAUGUAUGUAUUACACUCGUCAUAUCCCUUGUAUGAAUUUUCUUGAAACAACAAAGACAAAUAGAAAAUUCACAUAAGGCUACGACGCUUGCGUCUAACGCUCACGUCGCACCAUAAUGGCAUUUUACCUCAUUAUGGUGGAAAAGACGGUAUAUAAAUAUAUACGCGCAUAUCCCAUAUAUAAAUUAUUAUAUUUAUAUAGGGCUACGACGAUUGCGUCUAACGCUCACGUCGCACCAUAAUGGAAUUUUUACCUCAGUAUGGUGGAAAAGCACGUAUAGCUAGCUAGCAUUCUUUCAUAUACAUAUUAUUCUCAUAAUCAUCCAAAUAUGGAUAUAUAUAUAUACUCACCGAAAUUCUUCAUUUCGGUUAUUCUCCAACAAUAAUGAAAAUUGCCAAUUAUCAUAAAAAGCAAUACGCACACGACUCUACCGAAAAUCUCAUUUUCGGUAACUUUGCAAAUAACACGCUAGCCAUUAAAAAUGAGAACAUUUACUUCUGAAAAUGACUUCGUGAAAAUAAACAAUUCCACAAAUUGAUAUUUAAUAAAAUCAAUCAUUUAAUGUAGAAUCACCGCAUGCAUAUAUUUUAAAACAAAAGUCCACUCACAACUUUAGGCCUAAGUCUGAUGUCGAUCUGGGGCCUCGCCUGCUCGAACCUCCUCAAGUCAUGUUCCAAAUAUACUAUUAAUUUCCCAACUAACAAUCCAACAUUUAAUCAAAAUAGGCAAAAUUAACCGAGAGCCGUAACUACGCUCAUCAUUGCUUAACUUCGAUAUUCUUAAAUCGAAACGAUCCGAACUUAAAUAUCAUACUCGGCAGCCGUAAUUACAACCUCCCCAAAAAUACGACUUAAAUCCUACGGCCGGAUUCUACAUUAAUUAACCGCCAAAAAUACCACACUUCGGAAAUUCAUAAACCUAUCCAAAACUCAUCCAAAAAUUCCAUAACUCACUUCAAUAAACUCCCCUUAAUAUUCUAAAUUUAAAACCCUAAAAAUCUUCCAAACAGUGGCGGCUCCGCCGGCAGCGGCGGCCGGAGGCCGAUUCCGGCGACUUCCAAUGCCUAUGAAAUUUUGACAGCAUCUAGCAUCAUGCUCUACAACUUUCCUAACUAGCACAAACCAAAAAUCCAAGCCUAGCUAUGCCAAUCGAACAAAAACAUCAAAAUCGCUCUAGAAUUUCAAAUUCAUAUUUCUCCUUACCUAGCUCAAGAGAGGGUGAGCUGUUUGGAGGGGUUGCUGCACGGGAGGAGGGCUACAAAACGAGCUAAGGAUUGCCGGUUUUGGUGGCCGGAGGAGAGAGUUCCGGCGAGAGGACCACCACGGCAGCUAGUGGCUCCGGGCGUCGAUCCUCACUCACGGCGGCGCUAGGGGAGGUGUCACCGGUCCAGGGAUGUAGCUGGGUCGGAGGCCGACCGAACGUGACCGGUGCGGCAGUCUCAGGCGACCGGACGGCAGCGGACGAGCGGCCGGAAAGUUGGGCAGCGGAGGACUCGGGGAGAGGAAAACCGGGAAGAAAAAGAGAGAAGAGAAGAGUGGGUUUUGGGCCUCCACCCAAACCGGUCCAAGCCUAAUAUACCCAACUCCACUAAAAAUAAUUACACCCCAAAAUAAUACCCUAAUAAAAAUUACCUUUUACUAGCUAAAAUUUACCAUUUUUACCGUCGUCAUAACUUUCUCCUACGAAUAACUCUCCAAAAUAAUCGUCCCCCGAAACCCCUCUAGGGACCAAUUAAACUAUUAUCUCAAUGACGGAGACGGUAAAAUUCUUAUUAUAAUCAAGCUAGUAAAUAAGAUAAAAAUAUAAGAGUCGGGAUGUGACAAGACCACUAGUUUAGUUUAGAGUAAUUUAGUUUACAUUUAAGCAUUUAGUUUAGUUUAGUUAACUACUUCAAAAACCCAAAAUCAAAUCACUACUCCAUGUUGCACAUACUCACCAUGAGCCUAGAUUUCCUUGUGUGUUUAGGUUUGUGAUUGUACAUUUGCACAUUCUAGCUCUCUUAAGGUUAACACCCUAGCUAGUGAAAAGAAUCCAAUCCUCGUGGGUUCGACAACUUUUCUUAAUCCCUAUACUAUUACUUGUACCCCUUAUACUUGAGGGUGGUUUUUUGGCUAACAAUCUAUGUUAG